AACGAACGCUGGCGGCAUGCCUAACACAUGCAAGUCGAACGAGACCUUCGGGUCUAGUGGCGCACGGGUGCGUAACGCGUGGGAACCUGCCCUUAGGUACGGAAUAACUCCCCGAAAGGGGUGCUAAUACCGGAUAAUGUCUUCGGACCAAAGAUUUAUCGCCUUUGGAUGGGCCCGCGUUGGAUUAGCUAGUUGGUAGGGUAAAAGCCUACCAAGGCGACGAUCCAUAGCUGGUCUGAGAGGAUGAUCAGCCACACUGGGACUGAGACACGGCCCAGACUCCUACGGGAGGCAGCAGUGGGGAAUAUUGGACAAUGGGCGAAAGCCUGAUCCAGCAAUGCCGCGUGAGUGAUGAAGGCCGUAGGGUUGUAAAGCUCUUUUACCCGGGAUGAUAAUGACAGUACCGGGAGAAUAAGCUCCGGCUAACUCCGUG
This 433-nucleotide ribosomal RNA is filed under the name uncultured bacterium. Its description in RNAcentral is "partial 16S ribosomal RNA". It matches the Rfam family "Bacterial small subunit ribosomal RNA", at positions 29 to 507 of the family's 1533-position model. The record is from RNAcentral.